GCCCGGGUGGCGGAAUUGGUAUACGCAGGGGACUUAAAAUCCCCCGCCGUAAGGCUUGAGGGUUCGAGUCCCUCCCCGGGCA
This 82-nucleotide transfer RNA is filed under the name bacterium. RNAcentral's name for it is "tRNA-Leu". It matches the Rfam family "tRNA". Rfam says of the family: Transfer RNA (tRNA) molecules are approximately 80 nucleotides in length. Their secondary structure includes four short double-helical elements and three loops (D, anti-codon, and T loops). The record is from RNAcentral.